Molecule: ribosomal RNA, 505 nt
Filed under: uncultured bacterium
Lineage: Bacteria
Description: partial 16S ribosomal RNA
Rfam family: Bacterial small subunit ribosomal RNA
Source: RNAcentral
GACGAACGCUGGCGGCGUGCCUAAUACAUGCAAGUAGAACGCACAGUUUAUACCGUAGCUUGCUACACCAUAAACUGUGAGUUGCGAACGGGUGAGUAACGCGUAGGUAACCUGCCUGGUAGCGGGGGAUAACUAUUGGAAACGAUAGCUAAUACCGCAUAAUAUUAAUUAUUGCAUGAUAAUUGAUUGAAAGAUGCAAUUGCAUCACUACCAGAUGGACCUGCGUUGUAUUUGCUAGUAGGUGAGGUAACGGCUCACCUAGGCGACGAUACAUAGCCGACCUGAGAGGGUGAUCGGCCACACUGGGACUGAGACACGGCCCAGACUCCUACGGGAGGCAGCAGUAGGGAAUCUUCGGCAAUGGACGAAAGUCUGACCGAGCAACGCCGCGUGAGUGAAGAAGGGUUUCGGAUCGUAAAGCUCUGUUGUAAGAGAAGAACGGGUGUGAGAGUGGAAAGUUCACACUGUGACGGUAUCUUACCAGAAAGGGACGGCUAACUACGUG